RNA transcript from Cornus florida, 1863 nucleotides. It is a transcript of the gene named SKP1-interacting partner 15, with no coding region annotated. The transcript has 2 exons. The record is from RefSeq and is a predicted model, not a curated record. Lineage: Eukaryota; Viridiplantae; Streptophyta; Magnoliopsida; Cornales; Cornaceae.
GACCUACAAAGUUAGCACACAGAUUGCAGGGCUAAUUUAGGAAUACCAUAAGAAUGAACGUUAAGAUAAACCAGUCAAACCACCAGCCCUAUAAUCGUCGAUCCACUAAAUUCCGACCGAACCUCUGCGACGGUCUCUGUCUUCCCCCUCUCUCUCAUGGACGGAUCACCGAUCUACCAUCUACCACAUGACACCCUCCAUCAGAUCUUCUCAAACCUCCCUCUCCGUCAGAUCAUCAUCUGCCGAUCAGUUUCCAAAUUCUUCAACCACAUUCUCACCUCACCUUCCUUCAUAAACCUCAUCUCCACCAGACCAAACCUCCACCUCCUCGCUCUCCGCCACCCCUACCACCAUCACCACCACCACCACCGCCACGCGUCCCCCAAUCCCACCCUCCACGUCUUCGAUCCCGACCAGAAUCAAUGGCUCAGAUUCCCCCUCCAUUUCCUUCCCUUCCGUUCCCCUCAACCCGUCGCUUCCUCUCUCGGACUCGUCUAUCUCUGGGCCGACUCGCCCGAUUCCAACAAAUCACUAGUCGCCUGUAACCCUUUGACUCGGCAGUACCGAGUCUUGCCCCAACUCGGAUCCGCCUGGUCGCGUCAUGGUUCCGUCCUGGUCGGCUCACCCAACCGAGUCCUCGUCCUCACUGAACUCGCUGCUCUGUAUUUCUCAGGCUCCAACAACAAUUGGCUCAAGUUUUCGUCGAAUUUACCAUCCAAACCACGAAGCCCUAUCUUGGUUUCUGACUCUGUACUCGCUCUCUGCGACAUUGGGUCUCCUUGGCGAAGCCAGUGGAAGCUCUUCACAUGCACACUCGCGGAUCUGCAGAGUUCUCAAGCCUGGACUCGUCUCGAGAGGCACGAAUGGGGAGAUGUUUUCGACAUCCUGAAACGACCGCGUUUGGUGAGGGGUCUCGGGAACAGAAUCCUGAUGAUUGGGGGUUUGAAAUCUUCGUUUUCGCUGAACGCAUCGUGCUCGACGAUCCUGAUCCUGAGGCUGGAUCUGGAGACGCUGGAGUGGGACGAAGCCGGUCGAAUGCCGGCGGAGAUGUUCCGGUGCUUCAAGGAAUCGAGCAAGUUCAAGGUAUUUGGAGGUGGGAAUAGGGUUUGCUUUUCAGGGAAGAGGGUUGGGAGGCUGGCAUUGUGGGACUAUUCGGCGGAGGCAGGGAAGGGGCAGUGGCGGUGGAUUGACGGAGUGCCGGGGAACGGGGAUGGGCUUUGCCGUGGUUUCCUGUUCGAAGUUCAGCUCACGGCCAUGCCUUGAAGGAUCAAUGAUGGACUGGUAACACUGGUUUGAUUAUAAUUUCAAUUGAAUAUUGGGAAUUGUGUUGGAGAUGCUGGAUUUUAUUGAAGAAGGAUGGUUAUAAUGCUUACAGUCCCAAAUGUCUCGUUAUAUACUGAAAGCCAAUGGAUUAAUCGGGGUCAUUACAAGAAAUUAUUCAGCAGACAUGGCUGGGACUUGAUGGUGAUUUCUGAAAGAUGCAUGCGUUUAAGGAUCUUUUAGCUCAAAAGGCUAUACACUUUUACAAGUAAUCAGAUUCUUCUGAAGGGUUCUUGAAGGUAGGCAUUGUAUGUCAUCGUUUUUAUAAUGGCAAUGUUCUAGCAUUUUGCUAAUUGAGAUAUUCCACAGUGUUCAAUGCUUCUGCCAUUCCACAGUCACACUAUUUAUGUGGUUGUUAUAUCUAUAUACAUUGUAUAUGCUUUGAGUUUUAGAUUGCAUGGCUUAUCCUUGUAUUGGUUACAUAAACACUGAUCAAGAAACCUGUGUAGCUCCAAGCAUAGGUAGUUAGAAUGCAUGAAGUGUGGUGAAGAAUGCAUCUUAAAGUGUGCAGUUUGAAAUUAAUACCAUUUAUGUUUUUCUGUA